AUGUGCAUCUCGUGCUGGCUUCAUGGUCAGAGGAUGUUCAUGAUUUUCCCAUGUCCUGCUACAUGGCUCUUGAGGACGCCACCAGCUCCUGUCUCUGAGGGUUUCCUGCCCCGGGAAUUUCCUCUGCUGCCUGCUGUGCAAUAUGGGAGGAACCUAAAACAAGAAGCCCCACUCUAAAAUGGUCGUUUCUGACUGUUUGCAAGGUCUUCUGAUUCAAUCACCUCACGCCCGUUACUUCCACACUGUUGUUUUCCGAUGCCAAGAAWGGAGAAAAUGCUUAGUUCAGAGGAAUUUUCAAUGUAUCCU
Molecule: long non-coding RNA, 306 nt
Filed under: Dromaius novaehollandiae (emu)
Lineage: Eukaryota; Metazoa; Chordata; Aves; Casuariiformes; Dromaiidae
Description: lncRNA (ENSDNVG00000016739.1)
Source: RNAcentral